CCUACGGGCGGCAGCAGUGGGGAAUAUUGCGCAAUGGGGGGAAGCCUGACCCAGCAACGCCGCGUGAAGGAAGACGGUUUUCGGGUUGUAAACUUCUUUUGACAGGGACGAAAGAAGUGACGGUACCUGACGAAUAAGCCACGGCUAACUACGUGCCAGCAGCCGCGGUAAUACGUAGGGGGCAAGCGUUAUCCGGAUUUACUGGGUGUAAAGGGAGAGUAGGCGGGAAGGUAAGUGAUAUGUGAAAUUCCUAGGCUCAACCUUGGGAUUGCAUGUUGAACUGUAGUGCUAGAGUGAAGGAGAGGCAAGCGGAAGUCCUGGUGUAGCGGUGAAAUGCGUAGAUAUACGGAGGAACACCAGUGGCGAAGGCGGCCUGCUGGACAGUAACUGACGCUGAGGCUCGAAAGCGUGGGGAGCAAACAGGAUUAGAUACCCGAGUAGUC
This 443-nucleotide ribosomal RNA is filed under the name uncultured bacterium. Its description in RNAcentral is "partial 16S ribosomal RNA". It matches the Rfam family "Bacterial small subunit ribosomal RNA", at positions 338 to 795 of the family's 1533-position model. The record is from RNAcentral.